Molecule: non-coding RNA, 24 nt
Filed under: Arabidopsis thaliana (thale cress)
Lineage: Eukaryota; Viridiplantae; Streptophyta; Magnoliopsida; Brassicales; Brassicaceae
Source: RNAcentral
UUUCCUUGAGGUGAAUCGCCCUGC